Long non-coding RNA from Salvelinus fontinalis (brook trout), 972 nucleotides. RefSeq lists it as uncharacterized. The transcript is spliced from 2 exons. NCBI's taxonomy places the organism in Eukaryota, Metazoa, Chordata, Actinopteri, Salmoniformes, Salmonidae. The record is from RefSeq and is a predicted model, not a curated record.
CGAGGUAGGGACUAGGAACAGUUAAACAGGGAGCAAUGAAGAAGCUGGCAUUUCACUAUUUUUUAUUUUAUUUUUUAUAAAUCUGUCCAUAGGCAUAGUUGAGUUUUAACCUCAAAGUGAAUUCACUAUGUAAUGAAAUAUAGUCUCUAAUAUUGUCUGAUUAUAACUAGUUUGUCCUGCAUCACUCCUUCAGCCUAGACCUACUGCAUCAUAUUACAUAACAGGCCACAGCCCCAUCAUGAGCAAGAAACCAAGAUGGCAUCUCAGAGACUCAGACUAUCCGCUGUCAUACUAAUAAUGAUGUCACUAAUGGUCACAUAGCCCCCACCAAGCUUGUUACCAUCCAGGCAUCCUUAUUUUCAGAUUUCGUCCAGACUGAAAUGAUACUACUCUGGAGAGGGGUGGCUAUAGAAUGUUUAUGUGAAGAAUCAAUUGCUUGGCCAGAAAAGAGAGAGGGGCACACCUACUGGUAGAAAGGACCUGGAUGAUGAAGAACAGACACAAGGAUAAUAUUUUGUUUUGUUUCGUCAAGUCUACCAGCGGUUUUCCCCUCGGUUCCUGUCUAUUGAUUGUUCCUGUUUUUCACGGUUUUUACCUUUUCUGCCUGCCCUGAGCCUGCCUGACGUCCUGAACCUUUGCCCCGCUACUCUGGAUACCGACCUCUGCCUGCCCUGAGCCUGCCUGACGUCCUGAACCUUUGCCCCACUACUCUGGAUACCGACCUCUGCCUGACCUGACCCUGCCUGCCGUCCUGUACCUUUGUCCCACUACUCUGGAUUAUCAACCUCUGCCUGCCUUGACCUGUCUUUUGCCUGCCCCUGUUGCUGUAAUAAACAUUGUUUCAUUUGGGUCUUACCUGAAACGUGAUAGUAAUCAGUUACUCCCCAACCCUGGCUGGGACAGUAGGAUUUAUCUGGAAAAACAACAAAAAACUUAGCCAGGACCCACAAAUAAAAACAUUUUUCUGUCCGA